GGGAAUAGCUCAGUUGGUAGAGCACGACCUUGCCAAGGUCGGGGUCGCGAGUUCGAGUCUCGUUUCCCCCG
RNAcentral lists this transfer RNA (71 nucleotides) under Salmonella enterica. RNAcentral describes it as "tRNA-Gly". It matches the Rfam family "tRNA". From Rfam's summary of the family: Transfer RNA (tRNA) molecules are approximately 80 nucleotides in length. Their secondary structure includes four short double-helical elements and three loops (D, anti-codon, and T loops). Lineage: Bacteria; Pseudomonadati; Pseudomonadota; Gammaproteobacteria; Enterobacterales; Enterobacteriaceae. The record is from RNAcentral.